This 247-nucleotide ribosomal RNA is filed under the name uncultured bacterium. RNAcentral's name for it is "partial 16S ribosomal RNA". It matches the Rfam family "Bacterial small subunit ribosomal RNA", at positions 86 to 334 of the family's 1533-position model. The record is from RNAcentral.
AGAUGGCGACCGGCGCACGGGUGAGUAACACGUAUCCAACCUGCCGAUAACUCGGGGAUAGCCUUUCGAAAGAAAGAUUAAUACCCGAUGGCAUAAUUAGACCGCAUGGUCUUAUUAUUAAAGAAUUUCGGUUAUCGAUGGGGAUGCGUCCCAUUAGGCAGUUGGUGAGGUAACGGCUCACCAAACCUUCGAUGGAUGGGGGUUCUGAGAGGAAGGUCCCCCACAUUGGAACUGAGACACGGUCCAA